ACUCAGGUCACGUGAGGGGCGGGCGCGCGGGGUCGGCCGCAACAUGGCUGCCUACCUGCAGUGGCGCCGGUUCGUCUUUUUUGACAGAGAGACGGUGAGGGAGCCCUCGGGGCCGGAUGGAGCCGGUGCGAAGCCUUUCGCGCUGCCCCCAGGCAUCGCGGUCUGCGACUCGGGCCGGGGAAGCCUCGUGUUCGGAGAUAUGGAAGGUCAGAUUUGGUUUUUGCCUCGCUCCCUUCAACUCAGCAGUUUCCAAGCUUACAAGCUAAGGGUGACACAUCUGUACCAGCUGAAGCAGCACAGUAUCCUGGUUUCUAUUGGUGAGGAUGAAGAGGGUAUAAAUCCUUUGGUGAAAGUCUGGAACCUGGAGAAACGAGAUGGUGGUAAUCCUCUUUGCACACGAAUUUUUCCAGCAAUACCAGGUAACAAGCCCACGGUUGUAUCCUGCUUAACUGUCCACGAGAAUCUUAAUUUCAUGGCUAUCGGUUUUGCGGAUGGGAGUGUUGUACUUACUAAAGGAGACAUCACUCGAGAUCGGCAUAGUAAGACCCAGAUCCUACAUGAAGGCAGUUACCCCGUUACUGGCCUUGCUUUUCGACAGUCUGGCAAAACAACACAUCUAUUUGUGGUGACCACAGAGAACAUCCAGUCUUAUAUGCUUUCAGUGAAAGACUAUCCUCACCUGGAGCUGGACACUCAUGGUUGUGGAUUGCGCUGUUCAUCUCUCAGUGACCCCUCCCAGGAUCUCCAGUUCAUUGUGGCAGGAAAUGAAUGUGUGUACCUUUACCAACCAGACGAACGUGGCCCCUGCUUUGCCUUCGAGGGACAGAAGCUGAUUGUUCACUGGUAUCGGGGGUACCUCAUCAUUGUCUCCAAGGACCGAAAGACUUCCCCAAAGUCAGAAUUUGCUGGGAAUGAGGCACAGAAUUCAGACAAACAAGUCCUGAAUAUCUAUGACUUGUGCAACAAAUUCAUUGCAUACAGCUCAAUCUUUGAUGACAUAGUGGAUGUCUUGGCAGAGUGGGGAUCUCUCUAUGUACUGACCAGAGAUGGGAAGAUCCAUGUACUGCAGGAGAAGGAUACACAAACCAAACUUGAGAUGCUGUUCAGAAAGAACUUAUUUGAAAUGGCCAUUAACCUGGCCAAGAGCCACCACUUGGACAGUGAUGGUUUGUCAGAGAUUUUCCGUCAGUAUGGUGAUCAUCUCUAUAACAAGGGAAACCAUGAUGGAGCCAUCCAGCAGUAUAUCCGAACUAUAGGGAAGCUAGAACCAUCUUAUGUUAUUCGGAAAUUCCUGGAUGCUCAGCGUAUCCACAACCUUACUGCUUAUCUACAGAUGCUCCAUCUGCAGUCCCUGGCCAAUGCAGACCACACUACACUUCUGCUGAAUUGCUAUACCAAACUCAAAGACAGCUCCAAACUGGAAGAGUUCAUUAAGACGAGUGAGAGUGAGGUCCACUUUGAUGUGGAAACGGCUAUCAAGGUACUUCGCCAAGCUGGCUACUACUCCCAUGCCGUGUACCUGGCAGAGAAGCAUGAGCAUCAUGAAUGGUACCUCAAAAUCCAGUUAGAGGACAUCAAGAACUACCAAGAGGCUUUGCACUACAUUGGAAAACUGCCCUUUGAACAGGCAGAGAGUAACAUGAAGCGAUAUGGUAAAAUCCUGAUGCACCAUGUCCCUAAUGAGACCACUGAAUUGCUGAAGAUCCUUUGCACUGAUUACCGUCCCUCGGGAGGUAAUGAAGGCCCUGGGAUGCUAGAAGGAAAAAAGGCUAAUUCAGAGGAGUUCAUCCCAGUCUUUGCAAACAAUUCCCGAGAACUGAAAGCUUUUCUGGAGCACAUGACUGAGGUGCAGGCUGACUCUCCACAGGGUGUCUAUGACACUUUGCUGGAACUUCAACUGCAGAACUGGGCACAUGAACAAGAUGAGCAGAUCAAGGAGAAGUUGCACAAUGAAGCCCUCACCCUCCUGAAGAGCGGAAGGUUCAAAACAGUCUUUGAUAAGGCCUUGGUCCUAUGUCAGAUGCACAAUUUCAAGGAUGGUGUUCUCUACCUCUAUGAGCAGGGCAAACUUUUCCAACAGAUCAUGCACUACCACAUGCAGAAUGAGCAGUACAAGAAGGUGAUUGAGGUGUGCGAGUUGUAUGGCGACCAAGAGGCUUGUCUCUGGGAACAGGCUCUUAGCUACUUUGCACGGAAGGAGGAGAACUGCAAAGAGUAUAUUGCUGCAGUGCUGAAACACAUAGAGAACAAGAAUCUUAUGCCUCCGCUGCUUGCUGCAGAAGCAAAGCUGCCAGAUAGAGCAGGAUGAGCAGAGAAUUCAGAAAUACCGAGAAGAAACUACGAGGAUCCGCCUGGAAAUUGAAGAGCUAAAAGCAAGUCCCAAGAUUUUUCAGAAGACCAAGUGUAGCAUUUGCACCAGUGCAUUGGAGCUCCCUUCAGUCCACUUCCUGUGCGGUCAUUCCUUUCACCAGCACUGCUUUGAAAGCUACUCUGAGAGUGAUUCAGAAUGUCCUACUUGUAUGCCAGAAAAUCGCAAAGUGAUGGACAUGAUCCGAGCCCAGGAGCAGAAGAGAGAUCUGCAUGAUCAGUUUCAGCAUCAGCUCAAGUGUUCAAAUGAUGGCUUCUCAGUCGUUGCUGACUACUUUGGUCGCGGCGUCUUCAAUAAGCUCACCCUGAUCACGGACUUGCCCUCGGGAAAGACCGCUACAACCAUCGAGGCUGGCCUGCAGCGGGAGCUGCUUAUCCACACCAAGCGCAGUACCUGACUACAGGCCCUGUCCACACGCCCUCCCGUGUUGUACGGGGUCCCCCGCUGUGUCCUCGGCCCCCUGUGUUUGGCUUUCCCCCUUGGCCCCCAAUAAAGCAGCGUGGCCGGGCAGUGCCGCAGCGCGGCCCUCACUGACCGGCUCGGCCGGGCGGCGCUCCGGGAGCGCGGC
Camarhynchus parvulus is the source of this 2936-nucleotide RNA transcript. It is a transcript of the gene named VPS11 core subunit of CORVET and HOPS complexes, with no coding region annotated. The transcript has 16 exons. The record is from RefSeq and is a predicted model, not a curated record. NCBI's taxonomy places the organism in Eukaryota, Metazoa, Chordata, Aves, Passeriformes, Thraupidae.